GUAGUUUGAAUCCUUCUGCAGCCACGUAUUAGGUCUGUUAAAGGGCUGCUAUUGCAAAUCUGGUCCUCCAGCAUCCACCUGUUCUCUGCACCUUCAGUACCCUUCAAUAAAUCACACCAUUUCUUAAAAAUAAAGGUGGACCUCAUCUGAUCAGUUGAAGUCUUGAAUAGAAUAAAAAGACUGACCCUCCCACGAGUAAGAGGGAAUCUCGCCUGCCUACCUGCCUGCCUUCAAACUGGGACAUUGGUUUUUUCCUGCCUUUAGACUCAAACUGAUCAUUGGCUCUUUGUGGGAUUCACGCCUGGCAGCCUUUGGACUGGAAAUACACCAUCAGCUCUCCGGGUCUCCAGCUUGCCAGCCCACCCUGCAGAUCGUGGGACUUGUCGGC
This 388-nucleotide long non-coding RNA is filed under the name Equus asinus (donkey). RNAcentral describes it as "lncRNA (ENSEASG00005025871.1)". The record is from RNAcentral. Lineage: Eukaryota; Metazoa; Chordata; Mammalia; Perissodactyla; Equidae.